Molecule: ribosomal RNA, 328 nt
Filed under: uncultured eukaryote
Lineage: Eukaryota
Description: partial 18S ribosomal RNA
Rfam family: Eukaryotic small subunit ribosomal RNA
Source: RNAcentral
CCCUUAGAUGUUCUGGACUGCACGCGCGCUACACUGAAGCGUUCAACGAAUAUUCACCUUGCCCGGGAGGGUUGGGUAAUCUUUUGAAAACGCUUCGUGAUGGGGAUAGAUUAUUGCAAUUAUUAAUCUUCAACGAGGAAUUCCUAGUAAGCGCGAGUCAUCAGCUCGUGCUGAUUACGUCCCUGCCCUUUGUACACACCGCCCGUCGCACCUACCGAUUGAAUGGUCCGGUGAAAUCUUCGGAUCUGAGAGAUGUCUGAUUAAUUUCGGACGCCUUUUGGAAAAGUUGUUUAAACCUUACCAUUUAGAGGAAGGUGAAGUCGUANCA